GACGAACGCUGGCGGCGUGCUUAACACAUGCCAGUCGAACGGAAAGGCCCUGCUUUUGUGGGGUGCUCGAGUGGCGAACGGGUGAGUAACACGUGAGUAACCUGCCCUUGACUUUGGGAUAACUUCAGGAAACUGGGGCUAAUACCGGAUAGGAGCUCCUGCUGCAUGGUGGGGGUUGGAAAGUUUCGGCGGUUGGGGAUGGACUCGCGGCUUAUCAGCUUGUUGGUGGGGUAGUGGCUUACCAAGGCUUUGACGGGUAGCCGGCCUGAGAGGGUGACCGGCCACAUUGGGACUGAGGUACGGCCCAGACUGCUACGGGAGGCAGCAGUGGGGAAUAUUGCACAAUGGGCGGAAGCCUGAUGCAGCAACGCCGCGGUCGGGAUGACGGCCUUCGGGGUGUAAACCGCAUUCGCCUGUGACGAAGCGUGAGUGACGGUAAUGGGUAAAGAAGCACCGGCUAACUACGUG
Molecule: ribosomal RNA, 468 nt
Filed under: uncultured bacterium
Lineage: Bacteria
Description: partial 16S ribosomal RNA
Rfam family: Bacterial small subunit ribosomal RNA
Source: RNAcentral